Long non-coding RNA from Chrysoperla carnea, 455 nucleotides. RefSeq lists it as uncharacterized. The transcript has 4 exons. The record is from RefSeq and is a predicted model, not a curated record. NCBI's taxonomy places the organism in Eukaryota, Metazoa, Arthropoda, Insecta, Neuroptera, Chrysopidae.
AAAGGACGUAAAUUUGUUUUGUGGAAAUUCUAUUUAAGUCGUUACUUCAGAUUGUAUCCUGUUAUGUUGAUUGUUUGUCUAUUUUUUAUAACUUUGGGACGAUUUUGUUUUGACGGACCGUUAUACCCAAAAACGGUUAUUGAAGUUACGUAUUGGAGAGAUUACAUAUGGACUUUGAUAAUAUGUGUUGGUAACUUUUUUAUGCAAGGGGAUAAAGCUUACUCAUUAUCCCAUUUAUGGUACGUUUUUUGUGACACUCAAUUUUAUCUGUUUACGCCACUGGUAUUUUUAAUUUAUUUAAAAUUUUCAAAAAAAUGUGCCUUAUAUUUUCUUGGCAUUUUAUUGAUAACUUCUAUUUCCUGCGUUUUGAUUGGUGGAUAUAUGGUCACUGCAAAUGGUGGCAUACACUCACCAGAAUAUUUUGAUAUAUUGUAUAGGAUGCCAUAUUUCCGAGC